UGCGCAUGCGCGGCAGACGGGGUCGCACUCGGACUCCCGCGCGGGGGCACGCUGUGCCGGCUGACCCGCUCCUGUUCGGCAUGACGAGCUGGGGUCUCGCUGCUGCUUCCCCCUCACUCCAGCGCUAUGGAAUGCCUGCGGAGCCUGCCCCGACUCCUGUCGUGCGCGGCGGGGCUGCCCCGGCACAACCUGUGUGCUAUGGCUUGCGGCCUGACUCCGCGCGCCGCUAUACUACUUGGAGGGAGCCUGGCCGCGCGGCUGUGCAGACCCCAUCGGCCCCGCCUGGCAGGUGAAAUGCAUCGGUUUAUAACUUCUGAUGUCUCUCAAGCCACUUUAGCCAGUGUAGCCCCAGUGUUUACUGUGACAAAAUUUGACAAAGAAGGAAAUGUUACUUCCUUUGAAAGGAAGAAAACUGACUUACAUCAAGAAUUAGGUCUUCAAGCCAGAGAUUUGAGGUUUCAGCAUUUAAUGAGCAUCACCACCAGAAACAAUAGGAUUAUCAUGAGAAUGGAGUAUUUGAAAGCUGUGAUAACUCCAGAGUGUCUUCUGAUAUUGGAUUAUCGUAAUUUAAAUCUAGAGCAAUGGCUAUUCCGGGAACUGCCUUCACAGCUGGCUGGAGAGGGUCAACUUGUCACAUACCCUUUACCUUUUGAAUUUAGAGCUAUAGAAGCACUCCUGCAGUAUUGGAUCAGCACUCUUCAGGGGAAACUGAGCAUUUUGCAGCCACUGAUUCUUGACACGUUGGAAGCUUUAGUGGAUCCCAAACACUCUUCUGUAGACAGAAGCAAACUGCAUAUCUUACUACAAAACAGCAAAAGUCUUUCAGAGUUAGAGACAGAUAUUAAAAUUUUCAAAGAGUCAAUUUUGGAGAUCUUGGAUGAAGAAGAGUUGUUGGAGGAGCUCUGUCUAACCAAAUGGAGUGACCCACAGGUCUUUGAAAAGAGCAGCACUGGAAUUGACCAUGCAGAAGAGAUGGAGUUGCUACUAGAAAACUACUACCGAUUAGCCGAAGAUCUUUCCAACGCAGCUCGGGAACUUAGGGUGCUGAUUGACGAUUCACAGAGUAUUAUAUUCAUCAAUCUGGACAGCCACCGCAAUGUGAUGAUGAGAUUGAACCUGCAGUUGACCAUGGGAACAUUCUCUAUUUCACUCUUUGGACUAAUGGGAGUUGCUUUUGGAAUGAAUUUGGAAUCUUCCCUUGAAGAGGACCAUAGAGUGUUUUGGCUGAUUACGGGAAUUAUGUUUAUGGGAAGUGGCCUAAUCUGGAGGCGUUUGCUGUCUUUCCUUGGACGACAGCUAGAAGCUCCUUUGCCACCCAUGAUGGCCUCUUUACCUAAAAAGAACCUUCAAGCAAAUAGAAGUAUAGAAAUGAAACACAGCUUCAGGCCAGAUGGACUUUGAUCAAGCAGGAGUGUCUUAACCAUUAGUAACAACUCGCUGAAAACUGAAUUUUUUAUGGGAACCAUGCAGCUAGCAUACCUCCCUAAGAAAGAUGAGACAGUUCCAGGAGUGGUCCAGAGGUGCUGUCUAGGUACGUGCCUGUUUACAUUUUUUUUCCUACAGAUACCUUGCGCUCACAGUUUUAACUCUAGCUUUUCCUUGAUCUCAUUUAACUUUAUUCUUCAGCUGAUUCCUGUCCCCCUUGACUGGUCUCUAUUCUGCCCCUAGACAAGCUGAGAAGAGAAGGGCUCAUGUCAUUUAUUUUCUCCUGCUUUUACACAUUUCACUAGUGUCAGAAAAAAAGAGGUUCUUCCUCGAUUCAUACAGAAUCAACUAGUUAGAGUUUACAGAUAAUAAUGCCUGCAAAUUUUAGUGAAGCUGAAACCCCGUGGUGCACGCUUUUCCCUUAAAUGUGCCGCACUGCAGGGCUGGCAGGUGAGACCCACUCCACCAGGAGCAGCACAGGAAGCCCAGGCUGCUUCACUCCCCUCGGUCCCUCACAUUUACUUAAUCCUUACAGAAGGUGUCCCUCGGCUCACGUCAGCUCACUCCUUUCUGCUCUAGUGCUGUCAGCACUCAUGGCAUCCUAAUGCCAUGAAGACCCUCUUGGGGUGUCUUAAAACUGGUGGAGAGUCACUAGGUUCAUUACCUGUUAGAGCAGCCUUCUCUACAAAAGAUAAGUUUUAGUUUUUAUAUUUGCCUUAUACUAUAUGAAAAUAUAAUAAUCAUUUUGCCUUUCACUAUAUGAAAAUGCAAUAAGGACCAAAUCAUUUAUAAGUGACUUUGGAGUUGUGAGGUUAUUCCUCACUGUACUUUUCCUCCAAUUUUUCCUGUAUACUGUGCUUUCUAUUUUAUUCUGAUUGGUGAACCUAAUGAGUCACCAAUUUUAAAAGAACAUUUUUAGGAGGAAUAGUAUACAAAGAUUUCCUAAGAGAUGACCACAGAGAGGUCUUUCUAGGCAUCAGAAAGACAAGUAUUCCUGUGGAAGAAGAAAUAGGAAAAAAGGCUUAGAUGCAAAGGAGACAAGGAAAUAAACCUUGGAAGGGGACAUGAAUAACCAAAGGGCCUGCGAUUUCAUGUACUUCUGAUAUAGUCAUAAUUUUCUGUAUUUCCAGAUAAUUUGACUGUUAGUGUGUGUCUCCACUGGCUGUGCCACUUUGUCCAUCAAAAUGCUCACCCUAGAGAUGACUCAGCACGAGAGGGAGGGGCAGAUUAGAAAAAUGGAGCAAAAACUAAUCUAAGCCAAGGCUGUAGAUGUGAAGUGCUCCAGAGAGUCGGGCUCCCAAAGAACUCCUUCCAGCAGCAAUGACAACUUGGUUCUGUAGAGGACAAAAUACAAUUCUUUAAUUUAUCAUCACAUCUAUUGAGUUCCUGCUCUAGUCCAGGCACCCUGGAGCUAGAAAAAUGAAUAAGCUACUGGCCAGACCCAAUGGCUUGAACAUUUCCACCAAAUCUAUAAGUGCCUGGGGGCAGGGGCCGAGUCUCAGGUUGGUUUGUCUGCUUCUCUGGUGCCAGCGUGACACUGCUCAUAACACACUAAUUACUUCCCACCCUGUCAUGGCAGCCCCACAGGAGGUAUCAGAAAUAUGGACAGUGGAAGAACUGCUUGAGUGCAAGCCCUCCUAAUUCAAGUUUACUAUUGAUUACUUAAUGCUCAUAUAAUAGAAAGGAAAAGGAAUUUAUAAAUCAUAAAUUUUAUUCAGUCUCAGCAAAAGGAUACUGUGAUCAUCAUGUUGUCUGUGACUGUUGUUUAAAUAUAGAUAACCUCUGAUUUAUCUUUAUGCUUGAGUGCUUGUGUCCCCAAUCUCAGGUAUGUGUUAGGAUAGUAAAGGAAUUUUACUGUUGACCCAAGUGAACUAUCAUUAGGAAAGUGAAUUUGAAGUAUUGUACAGAAAGGAAUCAAAUAUAAAUUACUUUUAAAUACUACUCGCUUCAGCUGGUGUAAAUGGGUUGAUAUUUGUUUAAUUUUUAUAGAAUAGGUUCUUGAUAGUGUCUAAUUCUUGGAAAGAAUAAAAGAAUGCAAGCCAAGCUUAUGGUAUAAAGUAUUCCUAUGACCAGACCUUUUUAGAAUCCUCUCAUAAAUCAUCUCUUUUUAACCUAUAUUUUUGUUAUCGGGUUUGUAAAUGGGUUUAAGAGCGAGCCACUAGGAGUCAAUUUCAGCACUUUCUCCAGCUUACAGACCUGGUUUUGUGCUCUAAGACAUGGGUCCCCAACCCCUGGGCCAGGUCUGGUCUGAGGCCUGUUUGGAAUGGGGGGCCACACAGCAAGAGGUGAGUGACAGGCAAGUUAGUGAAGCUUCAUCUGUAUUUGCAGCUGCUCCCCAGUGCUAGCAUCACCACCUCAGAUCAGGCAUUAGAUUUUCAUCAGAGCACCAGUCCCUGGUGCCAGAAAGGUUGGGGACCACUGCUCUAAGAUCUGAGGGCUUCCCAAGCCCUUCACCCCACAGUUAACACUUACUGUUCACACUGCUCAUUAGCACUUAAUCCUAUACUGACAUUUUUUUCUCAAAAUCAGAGACUUUGUCUUUAUAUCUCUCCCAGCCCACAGUUCUAUACAAUAUAUCCAAAUAAAUGAGUGGAAUCAGUGGUGUAUUCGAAGAUAAAACCCUUCAAUUUUGUAUAUCUAUUAAAAUUCAAAACUGUACACCCUUUGAUCCAGCAAUCUUCUAAGAAUUUCACCUAGAGGAAUAUUUACACAAUUAUACAGAUAAAGAUGCAAGAAUGCUCACUAUAGCAUUGUGUGUAAUAGUGAAAAAUUAGAAAUGUUUGUGAGAACGUGAACCAAGGAAAUAAAAUAUAGUAUCCAGACAGUCAAAUACUAUGCAGCAUUAAAAAGAAUCGGUUUGCUUUAUAUGUACCUCUCUGGGAAGAGGCAGCAUGGAGUGCAUGAAAGUGAAACAGUGACAGGAAAUGUGUAUGUGGGUUUACGUUUAUCCGUCCCUAAAGUCAUAAAAAAACUCUGGAAGAAAACACUGAAAUGUUAGCAAUGGUUAUCUGAUGUGGCAAGGGUCAGCAGACUCUGAGAACGGCCGAGACAACAUAUCUGGGGCUCUAUGGACAGCAGUUUCUAGAGUGACCACUCAGCUACCGUAGUGUGGUCGCAGCCGUGGAGGCGUGAACGCACGCGGCUGUGUCCCAAAGCUUCAUGAAUGCUAAUGUUCCAACCUCACAGAAGGUUCACGUGUCACGGAAUAGUCCUGUGUUUUCCCGACCAUUUAAACAUGCAGUAAUCACUUUUAGUUCGUGGGCUGUACGAAAACAGACGGCCAACUAGAGUUAGCCCACAGCCAUGAUCUGACAGCCUCGCUGCAGAGGGGGAGGUUGGAAGAGUAAGGCGUGGAGCUUUUCUCCAAAAAGGUGCUAGGAGUAUGUGUGAAUUUGUAAUUUUUUGUGUUCCUCUAUUAUUCAUAUAAAACCUGAAAUAUGAACAAAAUGAGAUCGUCCUCAAAUCCCAGCCUUAGAACAAACAUCAGCACAGCCUUGGCACUCACCUUGUCCUUUGACCUCACGGUGAUCAUAGAGCUUCCAAACCUUGAGCUUGCCUGCAAAACAGAUUCUGUCUGUCAAUGGCCUCUUGAAGACUUAGCAAAAUAUUUUAUGUUUAAAAUAAGAGGAAAGGACAUUUUUGUAGUUUUCCUUCAUUCCUUCGGGAGGUACUUACUUCAGGAGAAAUCAAUACAUAUUGGGCCUGAAAGAGAAAAUGGUGAGAAAGGGAGACUUUUUUUUUAACCAAUUUUAAUUACACCCUCACACAUUUCUACAUUUUUUAAGAAUCCUUAAAAAUGUGUAUACUCUUUAAUACCAGAAAUUCCACUUAUAGGAACUGAGCCCAGAAGAACAUGUAUCAAAACGUUUAUAUGUGAAUAACAGUGAAAAUUAGAAGUGAACUAAGUGAUGAGUAGUAAUUUAUGGUUAAAUAAACUGUUUCAUCUAUAGAUAAUAUACUAGGCAGCCAGUAAAUAUAUAGAAAAACAUUUACAUGUUAUUUUGGUAGGUAAAAUCAAGUUGCAAAAUAACAAUUAUGUACAACAUGAUCAUAGUUCUUAAAAAUAUAGACACAUAGUAUAAUGGUUAAGAGUGUGUUUUAGCAUCAGCUCUUGGUUCAAGUCCCUGCUUUGCCAUUUCCUAGCAAUGUGACCUCGAACAACUUCCUUUCUGAUCUUUAAUUUCUUUAUCUGUAAAUGGGCGUAAUACCAACUUUUAAUAAAAUAUAUCUAAUCCA
This is an RNA transcript of Pteropus alecto (black flying fox), 5661 nucleotides long. It is a transcript of the gene named MRS2, magnesium transporter, with no coding region annotated. The transcript is spliced from 12 exons. NCBI's taxonomy places the organism in Eukaryota, Metazoa, Chordata, Mammalia, Chiroptera, Pteropodidae. The record is from RefSeq and is a predicted model, not a curated record.